This 467-nucleotide ribosomal RNA is filed under the name uncultured bacterium. RNAcentral's name for it is "partial 16S ribosomal RNA". It matches the Rfam family "Bacterial small subunit ribosomal RNA", at positions 28 to 507 of the family's 1533-position model. The record is from RNAcentral.
GACGAACGCUGGCGGCGUGCUUAACACAUGCAAGUCGAACGGAAAGGCCCUGCUUUUGUGGGGUGCUCGAGUGGCGAACGGGUGAGUAACACGUGAGUAACCUGCCCUUGACUUUGGGAUAACUUCACGAAACUGGGCUAAUACCGGAUAGGAGCUCCUGCUGCAUGGUGGGGGUUGGAAAGUUUCGGCGGUUGGGGAUGGACUCGCGGCUUAUCAGCUUGUUGGUGGGGUAGUGGCUUACCAAGGCUUUGACGGGUAGCCGGCCUGAGAGGGUGACCGGCCACAUUGGGACUGAGAUACGGCCCAGACUCCUACGGGAGGCAGCAGUGGGGAAUAUUGCACAAUGGGCGGAAGCCUGAUGCAGCAACGCCGCGUGCGGGAUGACGGCCUUCGGGUUGUAAACCGCUUUCGCCUGUGACGAAGCGUGAGUGACGGUAAUGGGUAAAGAAGCACCGGCUAACUACGUG